GUGCCAGCAGCCGCGGUGAUACAGAGGGUGCAAGCGUUAAUCGGAAUUACUGGGCGUAAAGGGAGCGUAGGUGGCUCGAUAAGUCAGAUGUGAAAUCCCCGGGCUCAACCUGGGAACUGCAUCUGAUACUGUUGAGCUAGAGUAUGUGAGAGGAAGGUAGAAUUCCAGGUGUAGCGGUGAAAUGCGUAGAGAUCUGGAGGAAUACCGAUGGCGAAGGCAGCCUUCUGGCAUAAUACUGACACUGAGGCUCGAAAGCGUGGGUAGCAAACAGGAUUAGAUACCCUGGUAGUCCACGCCGUAAACGAUGUCUACUAGUCGUUGGGUCCCUUGAGGACUUAGUGACGCAGCUAACGCAAUAAGUAGACCGCCUGGGGAGUACGGCCGCAAGGUUAAAACUCAAAUGAAUUGACGGGGGCCCGCACAAGCGGUGGAGCAUGUGGUUUAAUUCGAUGCAACGCGAAGAACCUUACCUGGUCUUGACAUAUCUAGAAUCCUGCAGAGAUGCGGGAGUGCCUUCGGGAAUUAGAAUACAGGUGCUGCAUGGCUGUCGUCAGCUCGUGUCGUGAGAUGUUGGGUUAAGUCCCGCAACGAGCGCAACCCUUGUCCUUAGUUACCAGCGGGUUAAGCCGGGAACUCUAAGGAUACUGCCAGUGACAAACUGGAGGAAGGCGGGGACGACGUCAAGUCAUCAUGGCCCUUACGACCAGGGCUACACACGUGCUACAAUGGUAGGUACAAAGGGCAGCUACACAGCGAUGUGAUGCGAAUCUCAAAAAGCCUAUCGUAGUCCAGAUUGGAGUCUGCAACUCGACUCCAUGAAGUAGGAAUCGCUAGUAAUCGCGGAUCAGAAUGCCGCGGUGAAUACGUUCCCGGGCCUUGUACACACCGCCCGUCACACCAUGGGAGUUGAUUGCACCAGAAGUGGAUAGCUUAACCUUCGGGGGAGCGUUCACCACGGUGUGGUUGAUGACUGGGGUGAAGUCGUAACAAGGUAACCG
This 998-nucleotide ribosomal RNA is filed under the name uncultured bacterium. RNAcentral's name for it is "bacterial SSU rRNA". It matches the Rfam family "Bacterial small subunit ribosomal RNA", at positions 505 to 1502 of the family's 1533-position model. The record is from RNAcentral.